This 326-nucleotide ribosomal RNA is filed under the name uncultured eukaryote. RNAcentral's name for it is "partial 18S ribosomal RNA". It matches the Rfam family "Eukaryotic small subunit ribosomal RNA", at positions 1470 to 1796 of the family's 1831-position model. The record is from RNAcentral.
CCCUUAGAUGUUCUGGGCCGCACGCGCGCUACACUGAUGAAUUCAACGAGCACUAACCUGUGCAGAAAUGUUCGGGUAAUCUUGUGAAAUUUCAUCGUGAUGGGGAUUGAUUAUUGCAAUUAUUAAUCAUAAACGAGGAAUGCCUAGUAAGCGUGAGUCAUCAGCUCACGUUGAUUGCGUCCCUGCCCUUUGUACACACCGCCCGUCGCUCCUACCGAUUGAAUGUGCUGGUGAAAAGUUCGGAUUGGGAAUAGGAGACGGCAACGUAUCCUGUUUCUGAGAAAAUCUUUAAACCCUCCCAUUUAGAGGAAGGAGAAGUCGUAACA